This 506-nucleotide ribosomal RNA is filed under the name uncultured bacterium. RNAcentral's name for it is "bacterial SSU rRNA". It matches the Rfam family "Bacterial small subunit ribosomal RNA", at positions 28 to 526 of the family's 1533-position model. The record is from RNAcentral.
GACGAACGCUGGCGGCGUGGAUUAGGCAUGCAAGUCGAACGGUAUCAUCCUUUCGGGGGUGAGAGAGUGGCGAACUGGUGAGUAACACGUAGGUUAUCUACCCUCAAGACGGGGACAACCCAGGGAAACUUGGGCUAAUACCGGAUGUGAGCAACUUUUAGUUGUUUGAAAGGUGGCGUAAGCUGUCGCUUGGGGAUGAGCCAGCGUCCUAUUAGUUAGUUGGUGAGGUAACGGCUCACCUAGGCAAUGAUAGGUAGGCGGCCUUAACGGGUGGUCGCCCACACUGGGAUUGAGAUACGGCCCAGACUCCUACGGGAGGCAGCAGUCGAGAAUAGUCUACAAUGGUCGGAAGACUGAUAGUGCGACGCCGCGUGAACGAUGAAUCCCUUCGGGGUGUAAAGUUCUUUUAUAUGUGAGCAGUGCUUCUUAUAUUAACAGUAUGGGGAGAGAGAUAUUAGCAUAUGAAUAAGCAACGGCUAACUCCGUGCCAGCAGCCGCGGUAAUCU